GACGAACGCUGGCGGCGUGCUUAACACAUGCAAGUCGAACGGAAAGGCCCUACUUUUGUGGGGUGCUCGAGUGGCGAACGGGUGAGUAACACGUGAGUAACCUGCCCUUGACUUUGGGAUAACUUCAGGAAACUGGGGCUAAUACCGGAUAGGAGCUCCUGCUGCAUGGUGGGGGUUGGAAAGUUUCGGCGGUUGGGGAUGGACUCGCGGCUUAUCAGCUUGUUGGUGGGGUAGUGGCUUACCAAGGCUUUGACGGGUAGCCGGCCUGAGAGGGUGACCGGCCACAUUGGGACUGAGAUACGGCCCAGACUCCUACGGGAGGCAGCAGUGGGGAAUAUUGCACAAUGGGCGGAAGCCUGAUGCAGCAACGCCGCGUGCGGGAUGACGGCCUUCGGGUUGUAAACCGCUUUCGCCUGUGACGAAGCGUGAGUGACGGUAAUGGGAAAAGAAGCACCGGCUAACUACGUG
Molecule: ribosomal RNA, 468 nt
Filed under: uncultured bacterium
Lineage: Bacteria
Description: partial 16S ribosomal RNA
Rfam family: Bacterial small subunit ribosomal RNA
Source: RNAcentral